Molecule: ribosomal RNA, 374 nt
Filed under: uncultured bacterium
Lineage: Bacteria
Description: bacterial SSU rRNA
Rfam family: Bacterial small subunit ribosomal RNA
Source: RNAcentral
AAUCAACGCUGGCGGCGUGCCUAACACAUGCAAGUCGAACGAUUAAAGCCCUUUCGGGGGUGUAUAGAGUGGCGUACGGGUGAGUAACACGUGGGUAAGUCUACCUUUGGGUUGGGGGAAGUAAACUACAGGGAAACGUUAGAGCUAAUACCGCAUAAUGCAGCGGCUCGACAUCGAGACAGUUGUUAAAGAUUUAUCGCCUGAAGAGGAGCCUGCGCCUGAUUAGCUAGUUGGUGGGGAAUGGCUUACCAAGGCUACGAUCAGUAGCUGGUCUGAGAGGACGGCCAGCCACAAUGGCACUGAAACACGGGCCAUACUCCUACGGGAGGCAGCAGUGGGGAAUUUGCGCAAUGGGCGAAAGCCUGACGCAGCAA